GAUGAACGCUGGCGGCGUGCCUAAUACAUGCAAGUCGAGCGAACAGACGAGGAGCUUGCUCCUCUGACGUUAGCGGCGGACGGGUGAGUAACACGUGGAUAACCUACCUAUAAGACUGGGAUAACUUCGGGAAACCGGAGCUAAUACCGGAUAAUAUAUUGAACCGCAUGGUUCAAUAGUGAAAGACGGUUUUGCUGUCACUUAUAGAUGGAUCCGCGCCGCAUUAGCUAGUUGGUAAGGUAACGGCUUACCAAGGCAACGAUGCGUAGCCGACCUGAGAGGGUGAUCGGCCACACUGGAACUGAGACACGGUCCAGACUCCUACGGGAGGCAGCAGUAGGGAAUCUUCCGCAAUGGGCGAAAGCCUGACGGAGCAACGCCGCGUGAGUGAUGAAGGUCUUCGGAUCGUAAAACGCUGUUAUUAGGGAAGAACAAAUGUGUAAGUAACUAUGCACGUCUUGACGGUACCUAAUCAGAAAGCACGGCUAACUACGUG
This 496-nucleotide ribosomal RNA is filed under the name uncultured bacterium. RNAcentral describes it as "partial 16S ribosomal RNA". It matches the Rfam family "Bacterial small subunit ribosomal RNA", at positions 28 to 507 of the family's 1533-position model. The record is from RNAcentral.